CUGAAAGAUGAUCAGGUAGAUAGGUUUGGAGUGGAAGUGUAGCGAUACAUGGAGCGGACAAAUACUAAUCGAUCGAGGACUUAACCAAAA
This 90-nucleotide ribosomal RNA is filed under the name Listeria monocytogenes. RNAcentral describes it as "partial 23S ribosomal RNA". It matches the Rfam family "Bacterial large subunit ribosomal RNA", at positions 2837 to 2925 of the family's 2925-position model. Lineage: Bacteria; Bacillati; Bacillota; Bacilli; Caryophanales; Listeriaceae. The record is from RNAcentral.